Molecule: transfer RNA, 151 nt
Filed under: Burkholderia multivorans
Lineage: Bacteria; Pseudomonadati; Pseudomonadota; Betaproteobacteria; Burkholderiales; Burkholderiaceae
Description: tRNA-Ser
Source: RNAcentral
GGCAAAUUGCUCCUAGCAUUCACGGACUUCGCAAGACUACCGCCCAUCGGUAAUUGAGGAGCCGAAAUCAAAAUAACCCCAUGUUUUAAUUAUCAUUUAAGGUGGAAUCAUAAUCCGCAGGUCCGGGGUUCGAGUCCCUGAUUCGCCACCA